Molecule: long non-coding RNA, 5112 nt
Organism: Bombus huntii
Lineage: Eukaryota; Metazoa; Arthropoda; Insecta; Hymenoptera; Apidae
Exons: 2
Source: RefSeq, a predicted model, not a curated record
AUAAUACGCAUCUGAAUCACGUGCUUGCACUAUGAACAAACCGCUAACUAAUUUUAAAAGAAAGCAAUUAACACCUGACGUAGUUAAGGGAUGAAAUAAGACAACGAGAGUGCACUUGGACCUCGAUGGUUCUUGAUAAACAAUCGUCUAAAUUUUCCACUCUUCGAUAUCGUGAAAUUCUUACGCAACAAACGACGGUCUACGAAAAGAAGUUCUGCAACUAAAAUUAACCGACCAGAUUCGAUUGUCCGAUUAUUAUGCACGUUUCAUAGGGUCGCAACGCAGCAUCCAAAUCGCUUCGUUUCUAUGAGAAUCGUGCGCCGUAGCCUCCUGAUUGGUUUACGCCGCGAGAAUUCACAAACUCGAAUUCCGUAGACGUAAUUGCCCGCGAAAACUGGGUCUCGUCGAUUGUCCGCUGGCCCGAGCGCUGCUCUCGUGUGUUCCAGAGGGACAUCUCGCGCUCGAAUAAUUCGUUUAAAAGCGUUACAGAUAGGACGGAACAGAGGAUCGAACGCUUGACAGCAAUUUGAGUGUGAACAUUCAUAAUAUACUUCUUGUAUAGUUCAAACGCGAAGAUGAAAAGGGUUAUUAAUAUAGCAAGGUCGUUGGCCCUUUGCCGCCAAUGAUCAGAUUGAUUUAUCGAGUAUGCAGCGACCAGAUCGAGCAUUGGUUCGUUCGCGGUAAAAUCGUUUUUACGCGUCUUUUUCUGGUAUUUUUCUAAACGUUUUAACUCUACGUUCUACAGGAUUUCCCCUUGUACGGUUCACGUAAUCGUUUAACGAAGAUCGACGGUAACAGUUGGCAAAUCAAUUCUACAACCGAGCUCGUUAACUAGAAAAAAAGCGAAGAAGAAAAAAAAAAAAAAGAAAAACGGUGGUCGAGCAAAUUUACCGGAUUUAUUUGCGCCCAUUCGACGAUUCGUUUCGCCUUUGCCGUUUGUGCCGAAUGGCGGGGCGAACAUCCGCGUCGAACAUCGAUUAUCAUUUCCAUUAUCGUCAAUUCGCAAUCAGACGCGCAGGCUGCACGACUGGUCGACCAGAAAUCGAUUAUAUCGCGCAAUAUUGCUGCGAUCGUGGCCCUUCUCUUCCUCGCCAAGUCAGCCUAUUAGAUACGAUGGUGUUCGUUUGAAAACCGCGGAAAGAAAGUUUAAAUCGUCGCAGCAUUGGGAUCUUCGAUCUCGGGAAUAAUUGCAACGCGUGGAAAUAUCGUGAUGUAUUUUGAAAUCUGUGCACGUCCGAUGAAUUUUGUCUCUUCGCGGCAGGCAAUAACAGAGCGAAAUAAAGUGACGAGCAAAAGCGUAGACGUACUACGCUAGUUUUACGCGAAAAGCGAUAAUACGAAUAGUUUUUUAAUAAUAGAAUUAGGUGAAUCUGAUUAAUAAAACGUAACAGUCUAGUGCCGUUAAUAUCGACGAUAUACGGAAUAUUUUUUAAAAAUAGGGAUUUGGAACAAUAUAAUUUCGCAGGUUUUGUCAAAAACGGAUAGAACAGCGAAUAAAUGUUUGAGAAUUGAUCGAAUUCUCAACGAAAACUGAUCGUUGACUAUCUCACAGUCAACUGUUCGACACCCUAGCGUAGUCAUUCUUCGGUUUGCGAAUUGUUUGACACGCUUCAUCCACGAUGAAGCCACUUAAGCAAGACAAUAAGAACAGUUUCUGUUCUCUUGUUAAUUUUAUCGAUGAACACGAAAUAGUAUUUCGACAAAACGGUGACCCUAAACAUACCGCAAAGGUAGGAAAAACCUGGCUCGAAAGUCCAAAGUUUUCCGUAACGAAGUGGUCAGUACAAAAAAUAUGAUAUUCGAUCGAUAAUUUGUAGUCCACUGUGGAAAAAAGCUGGCAAAGUAUAAGCUUUAUGGGUUCACGAGUUCACCCACCCUCCUCCGUGAACGAGUAAACGAGAGGGGGCUUGUGAUGUAUGCAUUCUCGGGCCCAGGGCCCCCUCUUGAUAUUAAUUUUGAAAACUUAGUUCAACGAGCAUAAUUAAAGCGCGAGAUUAUAAACUUUGUUCCAAAUCCAUACUUUUGUAAAAUAUUAUUUAUAUUGGGAUUAAUAUACGGGUACAUAUCAUGGACAUAUCCAUCGAAUAAAUUAUGUAUAUGGUAAGAGAAUGACGUAAAUAGUGGCAUAACAGCCAAUUAAAGAAAAUCACAAUAAUUUAAAUUAUUUUAAAUCGAAGUUCUCGUGUGUGUCGCGGAUUGGGAUGUUUAAGCUCGCACAUCCGCACAUGGAGUUAACGUGAUUUUCAACCGGAAAAGGUGUUGAUUAUCAAUGAUACAUGUGUGUUCAUUGUGUUAAAAACACAAGUUUGUCUGUGGAAAAGUGUAAACACAUUCCACUUGAAUAAAAGAGAAGAACAUAUGCUUCAUCCGCUAGAAUUGUUUUGGGAAUAUUAAUACGUUCCAUUCUUAAAUUCUCUUGCUUUUUGCGCUUUCUACUGAUAACCUUAGAGUAUAAAUGUGCUAAGGUCAAUAAAACUUAAUUAAUACCUCGUUUUGCAACACUAAGUUUUAUUAACCUUAGCAUAUUUAUAUACAUUCUAAGGCUAUCUAUAGAAAGGAGGAAAAACAAAAGAAUUUAAGAAUAGAACGUAUUAAUAUUCCCAAAACAAUUCUAGUAGAUGAAGCAUGUGUUCUUCUCUUUUAUUAUACAAGUGGAGUGUGUUUACGAUUUUGCUCACCACUAUAUAUAAAACAGAAUCUCGAUAAUCGAAUAAUCGGACAUUGAAAGACUUGGAUAAUACCGUAGUCUUCAUAAAUCGUAUAAUAAAAUGAUAGAAAAAAAAAAAAACAUUUUGAUAAUUUAACGUCGUGCGUGUAUUUAAGUUUCAUUAAUUACCUAAUCAGGUGAAAGUUUGAUCGAUCGUUUUCGCAAUACCUGACUAUUUACACUUUCGUAGUUCUCGUGUUAAAAUUUCGAAAGAGACAAAAUAAUAAUAAAAGUUGGAAGCUGCACGGAUAAUACGAAACAUUGAUUAAACGGGGCUCGGAUACCCGAGACUCCAUCGUAAUAGAAAUGUAAUAAUAAUUCGAACUUUAUACGUAUGAUAUCCCUUUGUUGUUAUUUCAAUAUUUCUAAUGAAUUUCAUUCCGACGUUUCUAUAUUUCUAUGGCUCGUACGAGCUUCGCAAAUUAAAAAGUUACAUAAAUACACGUAAAUGCAGAGAGAUAUAACACACGUAACUAAAAUUUAUAGCCUUUUUCAUUUUCCAUUUUAUUCCUCCCGAGGAAACAGGUACAAAAGGGAUAAACGAUGCGAAAUAGAACGAAAUAUGCGAUAUUAACUCACCAUGACCUAUUAAAUUUCCGAUACACUGUCGCACGAUAUUUAAUAUGCAACAUUCGAUAUUAAAUCGAUGAAAUUUCCUUUUUUCUCAACAAAAUCGUAAACGCGUAUAUAUAGUUUCUCAAUAAAAAAAAAAAAAAAAAAGAAAAAAUUCACCUAUUUAAUAAAACUAAUUUCCAUGCGUUCCAACGUUAUUCCUCGUCUUUUUAUCGAUCUCUUAUUAACCCAGUAGAAUUUUCUCCGCCUCUGAUACAGAAUCGAAUCGACUAAUAAUUCAAACCUUUCGUCAAGAACUUUCUUCCCCAUUUAUUCAACGUUAGCCCGUUUCAAUCUAGCGCCAAUGAAAAAGACUUCCAAAGAAACGGAACCUAAACUCGUACGAUCGGCCUCUCACGAUCUCUCGAGUAUCCACACUUCCUCGAAAGCAUCUUCCAAACCUUUUUAAUACCAGCGCUCGUUUCCAUUCUCCGAUCGAUAUCCUCUCACAAAAGGUAAAUGACUAAAAAAUAAAGAGAAAGGGAGAGAGGAAAAAGAUGGAUAAAAGUUUAACGAAGGUUCGUGACACCCCGUUGGAAAGGUUAAGCUCUGCCGAUCGCACUGUUGCAAACUUUUAUACCGGGAUUAAUGGUUAUUUAAUAGUCGAAGGCACACAGGCCUCGUUACGGAAACGUUCUUGUUGUUUUUCCGCUUGUAUGAGUACCUAAAGCGAUCUUCUUUUGAGAAUCUUUAAUUAGAAACACGCUGGCUUUGUUGGUCCCUUGUAAACGUUACGUCUCCGAAAAACGAGAUGAUCAAUAAGCUAGACGCGGUGUUUUGUCUAGCUUCCUUUCUUUUCUGUUUCUUUUUCUCGUUUCUUAUUUGCAAAUUCUGGCGGCUGAUAUUUGUUGGGUUAUUUAGACGACACCCGUACGAUGUGUAUAGGUAUAAAGCUACGAAGCUCUGUGAAUUAUAUUCCAAGCUUUUCUUCCCCGCGAAUGUUUGGUCUUUUAUCGGUAAUUCGAUCAUUUUAUUGGUCGAUAAUUUUAUCAUUUUCUUCAACAAUUUUGUAUUUCAAUUAUACCUAAAACAUAUGAUCUGUCGUUUGAUUUAAGCACAGCUUUCCCGUCCCUUUUGACUCAGAUUUCCUAAACUUUGGCCACAGGCCAGUCAUUUGAUACGUGUCCGUUUCGCGGUUAAACUAAAUGUUUAAUAUAUAUACAUUAACAUUUAGUUGAUUAGUAACGCGAUUAACGGUAACAUAUAUAUAUAUAUAUAUAAACAUUUAGUUUAACCGCGAAACGGACAUGUGUCAAAUGACUGGCCUGUGGCCAAAGUUCAGGAAAUCUGAGGCGAAAGAGACGGGAAAGCUGUGCUUAAAUCAAACGACAGAUUGUCAUGUUAAAAAAAUCACGUUAUUGUGAAGUGUACAAAGAAAUCAAAUGAAUCUUCCAUGGUAAUGGCGGAGCUAAAUAUUUUUUAUUUGACUAUGUCAUUAACAUGGGAAAUCCGUUUAGUUUCAUAACAUUGGAUUUUAAAGUGUGAACAAUCGCGAAUAACGUUUGGAAAAUGGCAAUUAUUCGAUAUCGUCCUAGUUGACGUGAAUAGGCCGUGAUAUUGCCGACUGUCCAGUGUGGCGGCCGGAGAUAUAGUUAGUGUUGUUACUUGUGGUUGGUGCGCUAAACUCUGGGGGUUUCCCGCUGGUGAGGAGCCGCCCGCUAUAGAUUCUGCUGCUGCUGGGGUACUGGCUGCAUUUCUUCUCAUUUAUGUAUCGUAGAAGAAAAGUCGCACGACUACGAUUGGUCGCCGGGAUUCGAACCCGGGUCCCCUACGUUUGAAACCUUAGGCGCUAA